This 363-nucleotide transfer RNA is filed under the name uncultured Microcystis sp. Its description in RNAcentral is "partial 16S-23S ribosomal RNA intergenic spacer". The stretch from base 135 to 208 matches the Rfam family "tRNA". Lineage: Bacteria; Bacillati; Cyanobacteriota; Cyanophyceae; Chroococcales; Microcystaceae. The record is from RNAcentral.
AAGGGAGACCUAAUUCAGGUAGGAGACGAAAAAAAAGUAGUCGCUACCAAGAAUCAAUCCCAAAAGGUCGGAGCGAGGCAAAAUUGGCUUUCAAACUAGGUUCUGGGUUCACACAAGACCUGAAUCAGGAACAAGGGCUAUUAGCUCAGGUGGUUAGAGCGCACCCCUGAUAAGGGUGAGGUCCCUGGUUCGAGUCCAGGAUGGCCCACCUGUACAGGUGGCAAAAAGAAAGAAAAGAAGCGAGGAAUCAGCACCUUAUCUUACUUAUAUAGUAGGAGAGAAUGCUGGCUCUGAGUACAGAGUCCAGAGGAACCUUGAAAACUGCAUAGAGCUAGGUGAAAAAGCCAAAAAAGAAGACCGCAA